UAGAUGUUAGUAAAAUAUUACAAGGCCUUGUCAUGACCUAAUUGCUGGCCAAAACCGGCACAUCUCA
Molecule: transfer RNA, 67 nt
Filed under: Oedipina poelzi (quarry worm salamander)
Lineage: Eukaryota; Metazoa; Chordata; Amphibia; Caudata; Plethodontidae
Description: tRNA-Asp
Source: RNAcentral